UAAUGAAACCCAUCUUAAUUAGCUUAUCAAAUCAAAGCUGCACUCGCACAAGAAGAAGAAGAAGAUGAAGAAGAGAGAGAGAGAGAGAGAGAGAACAUCAAGUUUUAAAAAAGUUGUAGUAAAAACUUGCCAUAAAUUGAGAUUCUUACAGGACAAACAACACACAGGCAUAAAUGAAUACCAGCCACCAUUUUCAUAGCCAGACCAGAACAUAAAAUCAUAAAUAUAUACAGAGAGUAGUGGAAAAAGUGUAAGAAUUUUAAAAGAGAAAGAAAAAUCUUUUUUCUCUUUUCUUUUCUUUUUUCUUCCUGGAAAGAAGAAAAGGACAAAAGAAUCAAGAAAUCAAGAGUUGCCAUAUUUGUGCCAACAGACCAAGAUCACCACACAUUUCCUAACAAUGUACAAUCUUGAUCUUUGCUCCUUUACAAUGGUGAUCCACCCAUGCCUCCCUCUUGAAACCCCACCAUCCCAAUCCUCCCUCACCUUCACAACUCGUCUCCCAGAUGCACAUUGACCCAUGUACACCAAGGAAUUUCACCUAUAACUAUAUUUUUUAAUAAGUAUCUCGAACUCGAAACCUUACAGCUCUCGAGAAAUCCACGGCACUAGUGCGAAUAUUAUCUCUAAUUACCUGCAACCAUUUCCCCUAAUCUUUACAUAUAUAUUGUUG
Molecule: long non-coding RNA, 670 nt
Filed under: Ricinus communis (castor bean)
Lineage: Eukaryota; Viridiplantae; Streptophyta; Magnoliopsida; Malpighiales; Euphorbiaceae
Description: long non-coding RNA (RCOM_LNC002596)
Source: RNAcentral